AGAGAAGCCAAUCAGCUCCCCGCGGUCCCGGUUCUAAAGUCCCCAGUCACCCACCCGGACUCAGAUUAUCCCCAGAUGCUUAGGAUGACGGUCAUGGCGCCCCGAACUCUCCUCCUGCUGCUCUCGGGGACCCUUGCCCUGACCCAGACCCGGGCGGGCUCCCACUCCUUGAGGUAUUUUCAUACCUCUGUGUCCCGCCCCCGCCGCGAGGAGCCCCGCUUUAUCACCGUGGGCUACGUGGACGACACGCAGUUCGUGCGGUUCGACAGCGACGCCGCGAGUCCGAGAAAGGAGCCGCGGGCGCCGUGGAUGGAGCAGGAGGGGCCGGAGUAUUGGGACCGGGAGACACUGAUCUCCAAGCAGAAUGCACAGACUUACCGAGUGAACCUGCGGACCCUGCGCGGCUACUACAACCAGACCGAGGCCGGGUCUCACACCAUCCAGCUGAUGUAUGGCUGCGACGUGGGGCCGGACGGGCGCCUCCUCCGCGGGUAUAACCAGUUCGCCUACGACGGCAAGGACUACAUCGCCCUGAACGAGGACCUGCGCUCCUGGACGGCCGCGGACGUGGCGGCUCAGAUCACCCAGCGCAAGUGGGAGGCGGCCAAUGUGGCUGAGGAGUGGAGAGCCUACCUGGAGGGCACGUGCGUGGAGGGGCUCCGCAGAUACCUGAAGAACGGGAAGGAGACGCUGCAGCGCGCGGUGCCCCCCAAGACUCAUGUGACCCACCACCCCGUCUCUGACGAUGAGGCUACCCUGAGGUGCUGGACCCUGGGCUUCUACCCUGCGGAGAUCACACUGACCUGGCAGCGGGAUGGGGAGGACCAGACCCAGGACAUGGAGCUUGUGGAGACCAGGCCCACAGGGGAUGGAAACUUCCAGAAGUGGGCUGCUGUGGUGGUGCCUUCUGGAGAGGAGCAGAGAUACACAUGCCAUGUGCAGCACGAGGGGCUGCCCGAGCCCCUCACCCUGAGAUGGGAGCCGUCUUCCCAGCCCACCAUUCCCAUCCUGGGCAUCAUUGCUGCCCUGGCUGUCCUUGGAGCUGUAGUCACUGGAGCUGUGGUCGCCGCUGUGAUGUGGAGGAAGAAAAGCUCAGAUAGCAAAGGCGGGAGCUACCAUCCAGCUGCAAGUAAGUGUGAAGGAAGCUGAUCCCUGAGAUUGCGUAGGACAUUUUCUUCCCACAGAUAGUAAAAGAGGGAGCUACUCUCAGGCUGCAGGCAGCGACAGUCCCCAGGGCUCUGAUGUGUCUCUCACAGCUUGUAAAGUGUGAGAUAGUGUGAGACAGCUGCCUUGUGUGGGACUGAGAGUCAAGUUUUAUCCACACCUUCCAUUUGUAACUUCAAGAACCCUGACUUCUCUUACUGCAAAGGCAUCUGAAUGUGUCUGUGUCCCUAUAGGCAUAAUGUGAGGAGGUGGGAAGACCAGCCCAGCCCCGUGUCCACCAUGACCCCUUCCCCACACUGACCUGCAUUCCUUCCCCGAUCACCUUUUCUGUUCCAGAGACCUGGGGCUGGAAUGUCUCCAUCUCUGUCUCAACUUUAAGGUGCACUGAGCUAUAACUUCUUAGUUUCCUAUUAAAAUUAGAAUCUGAAUAUAAUUUACUUCUUCAAAUUAUUUCCAUGAGAAUUGAUGGGUUAAUUAAAGCAGAAGAUUCUUGAAAUGUGAGCAACCAAGUAAAUGGAAGACCUGAGAACCUUCCA
This is a non-coding RNA of Callithrix jacchus (white-tufted-ear marmoset), 1700 nucleotides long. The record is from RefSeq and is a predicted model, not a curated record. Lineage: Eukaryota; Metazoa; Chordata; Mammalia; Primates; Cebidae.